AGAGCGAACGCUGGCGGCACGGCUUAACACAUGCAAGUCGAGCGCCCCGCAAGGGGAGCGGCAGACGGGAGAGUAACACGUGGGAACGUACCCUUCAGUUCGGAACAACCCAGGGAAACUUGGGCUAAUACCGAAUACGUCCGUAAGGAGAAAGAUUUAUCGCUGAAGGAUCGGCCCGCGUCUGAUUAGCUAGUUGGUGAGGUAACGGCUCACCAAGGCGACGAUCAGUAGCUGGUCUGAGAGGAUGAUCAGCCUCACUGGGACUGAGACACGGCCCAGACUCCUACGGGAGGCAGCAGUGGGGAAUAUUGGACAAUGGGCGCAAGCCUGAUCCAGCCAUGCCGCGUGGAUGAUGAAGGCCCUAGGGUUGUAAAAGUCCUUUCGGCGGGGAAGAUAAUGACGGUACCCGCAGAAGAAGCCCCGGCUAACUUCGUGCCAGCAGCCGC
RNAcentral lists this ribosomal RNA (446 nucleotides) under uncultured bacterium. RNAcentral describes it as "SSU rRNA". It matches the Rfam family "Bacterial small subunit ribosomal RNA", at positions 26 to 518 of the family's 1533-position model. The record is from RNAcentral.